Acanthopagrus latus (yellowfin seabream) is the source of this 1039-nucleotide long non-coding RNA. RefSeq lists it as uncharacterized. Lineage: Eukaryota; Metazoa; Chordata; Actinopteri; Spariformes; Sparidae. The record is from RefSeq and is a predicted model, not a curated record. The transcript has 3 exons.
GGAAAAAACUGGAUAACUAUUCAGAGCUGGCUGUGGUCACGACACUCACACCAACUUUUUGGAGUAAUAUGUGGAUCUUUAGCUGCUAAACGUCCAUCCAUGUUUACAAGGUAGUCGCUUAACUGCUGCAGCCGAAAACAACACAAUGAGAGGGAUGAGACGCACAACGAUGAGCAGAAAGGCGCUGUGAGAAUACCGCUGAAAAUGACUGAUAUUCUGCUUGAAGGGAGAUGGAUGGAAAACUAUUCAGCAACAGCGUGUGGAGCUGCAGCGUGCAUCCAAGCAUCACGCCCAAUUGGUGCAAGGUAAUUACUGGCCUGUUCGAGAGCCAGUGAGGAAAAAAAGUAUUCCAGUAUUUCACACGAAAGGUCAAGAUUGGAAAACAUUCCAAACAUUACAUUUCAAGAUAUACUGUGCAACAACUCUGCAUUAAAAUGUACAAAAAUGACACAUUUUAUGUUAUAUGUUUUGUUUAAUUGUGUACUUACCUCGUCAGAAAUGUUUCCAGCAAUAUUCAAACACAGAUGAAUCCUAAUUUUAUUCAAGGGACUGAUGCAUUUCAUUUGGUUGCAUGUCUUUAUAGCUUCCGGGGAAACAUCAGGUGAUUUGUCAGAGAAUGUGACUAAAACAUGACAUGAGUGAAAGUUUAAUACAUACUGUCCGAGUCAUAUGGAGCGAUCUUUAAUCAGCAAUGGUGGUAGUUUACUACUGAGGACAGCAGCUCCCAUGAUGAUCCCAUGCUACUUCACAUUUGCUGUGAAUAAAGUACAACUAGCUCUAACUUGCAGCAACAAAAGUGAAAAAAAACCUCCUGUAAUGCCAUAUAUAUUAAUACAUCAGAGGUAAUUUUCCUGCACAGUCAUUCUGUGUAAUUAUCUCUUCUUCUACCAGCAGCAAUGUAAAUUGAUUCUCACACAUUCAUGCAUUACUAAUUAUCACCCAGCAAUAUGUUAAGUAAAUAAUUAUACAAGAGUCACACUUGAGAUUUUUCUUCAUUAAGUUAAUUUUGCUGAUACGAUUUCUUUGCUUUACUACAUGA